GAUUGAGAAGCUUGCUUUUCAUGAGAGUGGCGCACGGGUGCGUAACACGUAUGUAACCUACCUUGAUCUGGGGGAUAGCCUCUCGAAAGAGAGAUUAACACCGCAUAACAUUAUCGGAUAGCAUUUUCUGAUAAUCAAAUAUUUAUAGGAUCAAGAUGGGCAUGCGGAACAUUAGCUAGUUGGUAAGGUAAUGGCUUACCAAGGCUACGAUGUUUAGGGGAUCUGAGAGGAUGGCCCCCCACACUGGUACUGAGACACGGACCAGACUCCUACGGGAGGCAGCAGUAAGGAAUAUUGGUCAAUGGGCGCAAGCCUGAACCAGCCAUGCCGCGUGCAGGAAGACGGCCCUACGGGUUGUAAACUGCUUUUGUACCGGAAUAAACCUUUGUUCGUGAACGAAGCUGAAUGUACGGUAAGGAUAAGGAUCGGCUAACUCCGUGCCAGCAGCCGCGGUAAUACGGAGGAUCCAAGCGUUAUCCGGAUUUAUUGGGUUUAAAGGGUGCGUAGGCGGUUCUUUAAGUCAGGGGUGAAAGACGGUAGCUUAACUAUCGCAGUGCCUUUGAUACUGAAGAACUUGAAUACACUUGAGGUAGGCGGAAUGUGACAAGUAGCGGUGAAAUGCAUAGAUAUGUCACAGAACACCAAUUGCGAAAGCAGCUUACUAAAGUGAGAUUGACGCU
RNAcentral lists this ribosomal RNA (680 nucleotides) under uncultured bacterium. Its description in RNAcentral is "bacterial SSU rRNA". It matches the Rfam family "Bacterial small subunit ribosomal RNA", at positions 69 to 747 of the family's 1533-position model. The record is from RNAcentral.